Small nucleolar RNA from Humulus lupulus (European hop), 107 nucleotides. NCBI's taxonomy places the organism in Eukaryota, Viridiplantae, Streptophyta, Magnoliopsida, Rosales, Cannabaceae. The record is from RefSeq and is a predicted model, not a curated record.
AUGCCAUGGUGGGGACACUUUCUCAACAACUCAUUGAACCGCUCCCAUGCCUCAUAUAAAGAUUCUUCAUCAAGUUGCUGAAAUGAAGUAAUCUCAUUGCAAAGCUU